Molecule: unclassified non-coding RNA, 619 nt
Filed under: Hevea brasiliensis (rubber tree)
Lineage: Eukaryota; Viridiplantae; Streptophyta; Magnoliopsida; Malpighiales; Euphorbiaceae
Source: RNAcentral
GGAAAAUGUGGCUUUUCAUAUUCACAUUCCAAACUAAAUAUUGACUUGGAUUAUGAAGGUCAUCUACUCCACUGUCAAAGUUUACAGAGCUGGGAUGAUAUGGUUCACAUCCAGGAGCGACAACUUCCACAUUUCCCAAUAUGACAUGACAGAACGCUAUGUAUCUAACCCCUUUUUCAUCAUCAUCGCAAUAGCUUGCACUAAGAUUUGCGCAGCUUGUAGGUGAAAGGUGAACACCAUAUGAGGAUGUAAGCUUCAGUCCAGAAUGACCGACCCCAUAUGGCAUGCUACCAGAUAAAACAUCCUUAUUCAGAGGUAGCCAACCAUGCUGAACAUUGGCAUUCCCACGACUCUUCUUGGUUAUCUCUAUUUGUUUUUGAAACAGAUCCAGUCUAUCCUGCAUUAAAGGACUAGACCAGCGUUUGACCCCAAGUAUUUCAAUGUUCUUAAGAGAUCCCAUGCUCGUUAAGAACAUGUUUUUUACAUCAUUCGAAUCCAAAGCUGAAUGAAUUAAUUCAUUUUGAGGCGCCAUACAACAAUCAAUCUCUUUUAUUCCUCCAACAGCCUCCUGCAUUUCAGCAACUGGUUUCUGACUUUUAGUUUCACUGCCUUCCCAAUC